Tupaia belangeri chinensis (Chinese tree shrew) is the source of this 1659-nucleotide long non-coding RNA. RefSeq lists it as uncharacterized. NCBI's taxonomy places the organism in Eukaryota, Metazoa, Chordata, Mammalia, Scandentia, Tupaiidae. The transcript has 3 exons. The record is from RefSeq and is a predicted model, not a curated record.
GGGGCGGGAAGACAGCCACCCCAGCCUGGGCCCCCGGGAGGAAAUGUAAGUGCGGGAAGUUUGUAGGGUGGUCCCUUUCUUGGCGCUUGGCCCUCGCCAGUCCUCGCCGCCCUCCUUGCCAACCCCAGCCCCGCCCCAACCCGAGGGUGCGCCCUUCCCCUGGGCACUGUGAUCUCCGCCCAUGCCCGCUGGCUGAUAGCGGGGGGCACCGCCAGCCCCUGAGCGCCGCGCUAGCCCCUGGGGCGGUGAGCAGGACUUCCGGAGCCCUGGAGGGCAGGGACCACCGCAGAAGCCGGCGUGCGCCGGGCACCUAGGAACGACCGUCCUGGCAGCCCUCCUCGCUCAGAUGAAGAGAUUCAGGCUCCAGUAACAACUCCUUGUCUACUAAGUGGCUACAUUUCCUGAGACUUGAAUUCUUCAGGCCUUUUGACUAUGUAACAUUUUUGUUAACAAUUCUCUGAAGUCAACAAUUUGCCUACAGUGCAAUCAGGUUCUAAGCAGGCUUUCAAUGCAGGGGAAGACAUGAAAAGUAAUGACACAAUCAAGCACAUCAGCACUGAAAAAAUACUAUACUCAAAAAUAGCUCAUGAGAGGAAUAAGAAAGUGAACGAAUGACAACCUAAGGCCUUUUGGCCCAUACAUUUUUGUUCCCAGUCCACUCUUCCCCUAUAAGGGGAAAUAAAAUAAACAUUCUUUCCUAGUUGCUUGGCAUAGUUAUUCGGUGGGUAACUACUAACUAAGUUAAUUUAGAUACAUAAGCUUAAGAGAUAACAAAUAAAUACCUAGGGAAGACAAAGAGAAGUCAGGUCAGAAAACCUUAACUAGCUAAUGAUGUAAUAUAUAACACCAUCAUAUUAGUACAAUUAGAUGAAGGCUUCAGUGUCCUUUACAUUUCAGCUUUAUGUGAUUGACACAGACGUGGAAGAGAUCUGGUCCUUAUGAAGAAUUCUGUGCUCGCUGGAAAGAUUUGUAGGAAUAAUGAAAUGCUUUCUUCAUUGAUGAGAUGAAGUCUCUCUGUUUUUCAGGCAAAUUGACUGAACAGAACAAUGAAAAACGAACUUCUGCAGAAGGCUGAAUAAAAGUAACAGCUAGCUGAAAGUCAUUGGCCAAAGAUAAUUUUUAAAAAUAACCAUUCUGUGUUAACUCCCCCCCCAAAAAAACCCCAGAGAAAUAUUAAAAAAACAAUGUACACAUCCAUUUCACUGACAGUUACAGAAAAUAGCUGUUUAUAGAAGUUACAAUGCUUUCAACAAGUCCCAAACAAAUCUUGGGAAACAGAUAAAGCCACUGGGUAAAUAAAUAUACAUACUAGCUAAUAUGAAACAAAUUAUGGUUAAGAAUUGUCAUCAGCUCUCUUUUAGGACCCAAGGAGAAAUAUGGUGGUAUAAAUCUGAUUAGGGCUAUGUAUAUUACACAGAAUUAAAAAACACAACUCAUUAAAACAUCCUUUCUAACAAUGAUACAAAUAUUUAAAAGAAUGUCUUAAAAGUCAGACAUUUAUCACUGGAAAUAGCACAAUUUGAAUAAGUACUUCAGAGUUGUAAUGUGUAUACAGAUCACUUCUGCUGUGUCUCAUCAGGUAUCCAUCUCUCCUGCAUUUACUACAGUCAGUUUUUAAAGAGUUCAUGUUUGCUGUGUGAGCUGAAGGGGCUGGGCAUA